UACGUAGGGUGCGAGCGUUGUCCGGAAUUACUGGGCGUAAAGAGCUCGUAGGUGGUUUGUCGCGUCUGCCGUGAAAGUCCGGGGCUCAACUCCGGAUCUGCGGUGGGUACGGGCAGACUAGAGUGAUGUAGGGGAGACUGGAAUUCCUGGUGUAGCGGUGAAAUGCGCAGAUAUCAGGAGGAACACCGAUGGCGAAGGCAGGUCUCUGGGCAUUAACUGACGCUGAGGAGCGAAAGCAUGGGGAGCGAACAGG
Molecule: ribosomal RNA, 253 nt
Filed under: uncultured bacterium
Lineage: Bacteria
Description: partial 16S ribosomal RNA
Rfam family: Bacterial small subunit ribosomal RNA
Source: RNAcentral